GUGCCAGCCGCCGCGGUAAUACGGAGGAUCCGAGCGUUAUCCGGAAUUAUUGGGUUUAAAGGGUUCGUAGGCGGCUUUGUAAGUCAGUGGUGAAAUUUCCUAGCUUAACUAGGACACUGCCAUUGAUACUGCAGAGCUUGAAUAAUGUGGAAGUAACUAGAAUAUGUAGUGUAGCGGUGAAAUGCUUAGAUAUUACAUGGAAUACCAAUUGCGAAGGUAGGUUACUACGUAUUUAUUGACGCUGAUGAACGAAAGCGUGGGGAGCAAACAGGAUUAGAAACCCCGGUAGUCC
This 292-nucleotide ribosomal RNA is filed under the name uncultured prokaryote. RNAcentral describes it as "partial 16S ribosomal RNA". It matches the Rfam family "Bacterial small subunit ribosomal RNA", at positions 505 to 796 of the family's 1533-position model. The record is from RNAcentral.